GACGAACGCUGGCGGCGUGCCUAAUACAUGCAAGUAGAACGCUGAAGGAGGAGCUUGCUUCUCUGGAUGAGUUGCGAACGGGUGAGUAACGCGUAGGUAACCUGCCUGGUAGCGGGGGAUAACUAUUGGAAACGAUAGCUAAUACCGCAUAAUAGUAGAUGUUGCAUGACAUUUGCUUAAAAGGUGCAAUUGCAUCACUACCAGAUGGACCUGCGUUGUAUUAGCUAGUUGGUGAGGUAACGGCUCACCAAGGCGACGAUACAUAGCCGACCUGAGAGGGUGAUCGGCCACACUGGGACUGAGACACGGCCCAGACUCCUACGGGAGGCAGCAGUAGGGAAUCGUCGGCAAUGGACGGAAGUCUGACCGAGCAACGCCGCGUGAGUGAAGAAGGUUUUCGGAUCGUAAAGCUCUGUUGUAAGAGAAGAACGAGUGUGAGAGUGGAAAGUUCACACUGUGACGGUAUCUUACCAGAAAGGGACGGCUAACUACGUG
This 495-nucleotide ribosomal RNA is filed under the name uncultured bacterium. RNAcentral describes it as "partial 16S ribosomal RNA". It matches the Rfam family "Bacterial small subunit ribosomal RNA", at positions 28 to 507 of the family's 1533-position model. The record is from RNAcentral.